CCUACGGGAGUCAGCAGUGGGGAAUUUUGGACAAUGGGCGCAAGCCUGAUCCAGCUAUUCCGCGUGUGGGAUGACGGCCCUCGGGUUGUAAACUACUUUAGUAGAGAACGAAAGGGAGCUAUCGAAUAAAUAGCUCAGUUUACGGUACUCUCAGAAUAAGCACCGGCUAACUACGUGCCAGCAGCCGCGGUAAUACGGAGGGUGCGAGCGUUGAUCGGAAUUACUGGUCGUAAAGGGUGUGCAGGCGGCUGAGUAAGACAGAUGUGAAAUCCCCGGGCUUAACCUGGGAACCGCAUAUGUGACUGCUUGGCUAGAGGGCGUCAGAGGGGGGUAGAAUUCCAGGUGUAGCAGUGAAAUGCGUAGAGAUGUGGAAGAACACCGAUGGCGAAGGCGGCCUCCUGGAACACAACUGACGCUCAUACACGAAAGCGUGGGGAGCAAACAGGAUUAGAUACCCGAGUAGUC
Molecule: ribosomal RNA, 465 nt
Filed under: uncultured bacterium
Lineage: Bacteria
Description: partial 16S ribosomal RNA
Rfam family: Bacterial small subunit ribosomal RNA
Source: RNAcentral